This 253-nucleotide ribosomal RNA is filed under the name uncultured bacterium. Its description in RNAcentral is "partial 16S ribosomal RNA". It matches the Rfam family "Bacterial small subunit ribosomal RNA", at positions 524 to 776 of the family's 1533-position model. The record is from RNAcentral.
UACGUAGGGGGCAAGCGUUGUCCGGAAUUAUUGGGCGUAAAGAGCUCGUAGGCGGUCUGUCGCGUCGAAUGUGAAAACCCGGGGCUCAACUCCGGGCUUGCAUUCGAUACGGGCAGACUAGAGUUCGGUAGGGGAGACUGGAAUUCCUGGUGUAGCGGUGAAAUGCGCAGAUAUCAGGAGGAACGCCGGUGGCGAAGGCGGGUCUCUGGGCCUAUACUGACGCUGAGGAGCGAAAGCGUGGGGAGCAAACAGG